RNAcentral lists this ribosomal RNA (1390 nucleotides) under Klebsiella variicola. Its description in RNAcentral is "bacterial SSU rRNA". It matches the Rfam family "Bacterial small subunit ribosomal RNA". Lineage: Bacteria; Pseudomonadati; Pseudomonadota; Gammaproteobacteria; Enterobacterales; Enterobacteriaceae. The record is from RNAcentral.
CGAGCGGUAGCACAGAGAGCUUGCUCUCGGGUGACGAGCGGCGGACGGGUGAGUAAUGUCUGGGAAACUGCCUGAUGGAGGGGGAUAACUACUGGAAACGGUAGCUAAUACCGCAUAACGUCGCAAGACCAAAGUGGGGGACCUUCGGGCCUCAUGCCAUCAGAUGUGCCCAGAUGGGAUUAGCUGGUAGGUGGGGUAACGGCUCACCUAGGCGACGAUCCCUAGCUGGUCUGAGAGGAUGACCAGCCACACUGGAACUGAGACACGGUCCAGACUCCUACGGGAGGCAGCAGUGGGGAAUAUUGCACAAUGGGCGCAAGCCUGAUGCAGCCAUGCCGCGUGUGUGAAGAAGGCCUUCGGGUUGUAAAGCACUUUCAGCGGGGAGGAAGGCGGUGAGGUUAAUAACCUCAUCGAUUGACGUUACCCGCAGAAGAAGCACCGGCUAACUCCGUGCCAGCAGCCGCGGUAAUACGGAGGGUGCAAGCGUUAAUCGGAAUUACUGGGCGUAAAGCGCACGCAGGCGGUCUGUCAAGUCGGAUGUGAAAUCCCCGGGCUCAACCUGGGAACUGCAUUCGAAACUGGCAGGCUAGAGUCUUGUAGAGGGGGGUAGAAUUCCAGGUGUAGCGGUGAAAUGCGUAGAGAUCUGGAGGAAUACCGGUGGCGAAGGCGGCCCCCUGGACAAAGACUGACGCUCAGGUGCGAAAGCGUGGGGAGCAAACAGGAUUAGAUACCCUGGUAGUCCACGCUGUAAACGAUGUCGAUUUGGAGGUUGUGCCCUUGAGGCGUGGCUUCCGGAGCUAACGCGUUAAAUCGACCGCCUGGGGAGUACGGCCGCAAGGUUAAAACUCAAAUGAAUUGACGGGGGCCCGCACAAGCGGUGGAGCAUGUGGUUUAAUUCGAUGCAACGCGAAGAACCUUACCUGGUCUUGACAUCCACAGAACUUUCCAGAGAUGGAUUGGUGCCUUCGGGAACUGUGAGACAGGUGCUGCAUGGCUGUCGUCAGCUCGUGUUGUGAAAUGUUGGGUUAAGUCCCGCAACGAGCGCAACCCUUAUCCUUUGUUGCCAGCGGUCCGGCCGGGAACUCAAAGGAGACUGCCAGUGAUAAACUGGAGGAAGGUGGGGAUGACGUCAAGUCAUCAUGGCCCUUACGACCAGGGCUACACACGUGCUACAAUGGCAUAUACAAAGAGAAGCGACCUCGCGAGAGCAAGCGGACCUCAUAAAGUAUGUCGUAGUCCGGAUUGGAGUCUGCAACUCGACUCCAUGAAGUCGGAAUCGCUAGUAAUCGUAGAUCAGAAUGCUACGGUGAAUACGUUCCCGGGCCUUGUACACACCGCCCGUCACACCAUGGGAGUGGGUUGCAAAAGAAGUAGGUAGCUUAACCUUCGG